This 274-nucleotide ribosomal RNA is filed under the name uncultured bacterium. RNAcentral's name for it is "partial 16S ribosomal RNA". It matches the Rfam family "Bacterial small subunit ribosomal RNA", at positions 523 to 796 of the family's 1533-position model. The record is from RNAcentral.
AUACGGAGGGGGUUAGCGUUGUUCGGAAUUACUGGGCGUAAAGCGUACGUAGGCGGAUUAGUAAGUUAGGGGUGAAAUCCCGAGGCUCAACCUCGGAACUGCCUCUAAAACUGCUAGUCUUGAGUUCGAGAGAGGUGAGUGGAAUUCCUAGUGUAGAGGUGAAAUUCGUAGAUAUUAGGAGGAACACCAGUGGCGAAGGCGGCUCACUGGCUCGAUACUGACGCUGAGGUGCGAAAGCGUGGGGAGCAAACAGGAUUAGAAACCCCAGUAGUCC